RNAcentral lists this signal recognition particle RNA (83 nucleotides) under zebrafish metagenome. Its description in RNAcentral is "Bacterial small signal recognition particle RNA". It matches the Rfam family "Bacterial small signal recognition particle RNA". From Rfam's summary of the family: The signal recognition particle (SRP) is a universally conserved ribonucleoprotein involved in the co-translational targeting of proteins to membranes. The record is from RNAcentral.
CGGGCCCCAUGCAACGCACCGCCGCCCAAUCCCGCCAGGACCGGAAGGUAGCAACGGCAAGCUGGUCGGGCGUGUCGUGGGUC